AGAUGUGAGGGUGAUCUGGCUGUGAUAUCUCUUAACUCAACAUGAGUUGAUUUGUCUGAUCUGGCUGGCUGAUAGGGUGUUCUAUCCUCCCUCACCACUCCUUCCUAAAAUUGUGUACUCAUUCAAAGAGGACAAACUUUCCUGAUUAAGGAGGAACAUAUUUUGUCCACGGGUACAUAAGGUUAUACUGGAACCACCAAAAAAGUUCUCACAAACACCCUUCAAGUUGAUCCAUAAUAUUAUACAUGAUAUAAAUCUCAGUAUUCUCCUUGACACCGUGAACACUG
Cavia porcellus (domestic guinea pig) is the source of this 287-nucleotide unclassified non-coding RNA. Its record names the gene 7SK. It matches the Rfam family "7SK RNA". Rfam says of the family: 7SK was discovered as an abundant small nuclear RNA in the mid-70s but a possible function has only recently been suggested. NCBI's taxonomy places the organism in Eukaryota, Metazoa, Chordata, Mammalia, Rodentia, Caviidae. The record is from Ensembl.